Molecule: ribosomal RNA, 506 nt
Filed under: uncultured bacterium
Lineage: Bacteria
Description: partial 16S ribosomal RNA
Source: RNAcentral
GGAGUUAGCCGGUGCUUCUUCUGUGAGUGAUGUCCUUCCUGCCGGUUAUUGACCCGCAGGCCUUCUUCCUCACUGAAAGUGCUUUACAACCCGAAGGCCUUCUUCACACACGCGGCAUGGCUGGAUCAGGGUUGCCCCCAUUGUCCAAUAUUCCCCACUGCUGCCUCCCGUAGGAGUCUGGGCCGUGUCUCAGUCCCAGUGUGGCUGAUCAUCCUCUCAGACCAGCUACGGAUCGUCGCCUUGGUGAGCCGUUACCUCACCAACCAGCUAAUCCGACAUAGGCUCAUCCGAUAGCGCGAGGCCCGAAGGUCCCCCGCUUUCCCCCGUAGGGCGUAUGCGGUAUUAGCCUGGGUUUCCCCAGGUUAUCCCCCACUACCGGGCAGAUUCCUAUGCAUUACUCACCCGUCCGCCGCUCGCCACCAGGGAGCAAGCUCCCCGUGCUGCCGCUCGACUUGCAUGUGUUAGGCCUGCCGCCAGCGUUCAAUCUGAGCAUGAUCAACUACUGA